This 594-nucleotide ribosomal RNA is filed under the name uncultured Bacteroidota bacterium. Its description in RNAcentral is "bacterial SSU rRNA". It matches the Rfam family "Bacterial small subunit ribosomal RNA", at positions 122 to 715 of the family's 1533-position model. Lineage: Bacteria; Pseudomonadati; Bacteroidota. The record is from RNAcentral.
CNACCUGCCGAUGACUCGGGGAUAGCCUUUCGAAAGAAAGAUUAAUACCCGAUGGCAUAGUUCUUCCGCAUGGUGGAACUAUUAAAGAAUUUCGGUCAUCGAUGGGGAUGCGUUCCAUUAGGUUGUUGGCGGGGUAACGGCCCACCAAGCCUUCGAUGGAUAGGGGUUCUGAGAGGAAGGUCCCCCACAUUGGAACUGAGACACGGUCCAAACUCCUACGGGAGGCAGCAGUGAGGAAUAUUGGUCAAUGGACGAGAGUCUGAACCAGCCAAGUAGCGUGAAGGAUGACUGCCCUAUGGGUUGUAAACUUCUUUUAUACGGGAAUAAAGUGAGGCACGUGUGCCUUUUUGUAUGUACCGUAUGAAUAAGGAUCGGCGAACUCCGUGCCAGCAGCCGCGGUAAUACGGAGGAUCCGAGCGUUAUCCGGAUUUAUUGGGUUUAAAGGGAGCGUAGGCGGACGCUUAAGUCAGUUGUGAAAGUUUGCGGCUCAACCGUAAAAUUGCAGUUGAUACUGGGUGUCUUGAGUACAGUAGAGGCAGGCGGAAUUCGUGGUGUAGCGGUGAAAUGCUUAGAUAUCACGAAGAACUCCGAUUG